GAUGAAGAACGUAGCGAAAUGCGAUAAGUAAUGUGCAUUGCAGAAUUCAGUGAAUCAUCGAAUCUUUGAACGCACAUUGCGCCCCCUGGUAUUCCGGGGGGCAUGCCUGUCCGAGCGUCAUUACAACCCUCAAGCUCAGCUUGGUAUUGGGCCCCGCCGACCCGGCGGGCCCUAAAGUCAGUGGCGGUGCCGUCCGGCUCCGAGCGUAGUAAUUCUUCUCGCUCUGGAGGUCCGGUCGUGUGCUCGCCAGCAACCCCCAAUUUUUUUCAGGUUGACCUCGGAUCAGGUAGGGAUACCCGCUGAACUUAAGCAUAUCAAUAAGCGGAGGA
Molecule: unclassified non-coding RNA, 329 nt
Filed under: soil metagenome
Description: partial contains 5.8S ribosomal RNA, internal transcribed spacer 2, and large subunit ribosomal RNA
Rfam family: 5.8S ribosomal RNA (bases 1-120)
Source: RNAcentral